GGCACGGAGGACACUACUAAACCGCAUGGCUACUAAACGUCGUCAGUUUGAAAACCGAAGACACCAAAUGAUUCUACUUCGUUGCAGUUAACACUGUUAAAAGAAUCAAAUAAAUAUAUUGAAUCCCA
This is a long non-coding RNA of Dreissena polymorpha, 128 nucleotides long. RefSeq lists it as uncharacterized. The transcript has 2 exons. The record is from RefSeq and is a predicted model, not a curated record. Lineage: Eukaryota; Metazoa; Mollusca; Bivalvia; Myida; Dreissenidae.